RNAcentral lists this long non-coding RNA (307 nucleotides) under Cicer arietinum (chickpea). Its description in RNAcentral is "long non-coding RNA (CARI_LNC001749)". The record is from RNAcentral. Lineage: Eukaryota; Viridiplantae; Streptophyta; Magnoliopsida; Fabales; Fabaceae.
UCAAUCAUAAUCCAAACGGGACAAACAUUGUUGCAAAGAAAAUUCCAAAAUCUUGAUACCAAAUAGUAUCUUGGGACAUAGCAUGGUAUGCUCAAUUAAAGUUCUAAUUUUUUCUCAAGCAGAAGAUUAAAUGUUCUUGAAUGAUCAAGAAUGAGAAAAUUGGUAUAUCAAUCAUAAUCCAUACGGGACAAACAUAUUUGCAAUGAAAAUUCCAAAAUAUUGAUACCAAAUAGUAUCUUGGGACAUAGCAUGGUAUGCUCAAUUAAAGUUCUAAUUUUUUUCUUAGGCAGAAGAUUGAAUGUUCUUG